RNAcentral lists this ribosomal RNA (187 nucleotides) under uncultured bacterium. RNAcentral describes it as "partial 16S ribosomal RNA". It matches the Rfam family "Bacterial small subunit ribosomal RNA", at positions 1314 to 1500 of the family's 1533-position model. The record is from RNAcentral.
GACUACAUGAAGCUGGAAUCGCUAGUAAUCGCGAAUCAGAAUGUCGCGGUGAAUACGUUCCCGGGUCUUGUACACACCGCCCGUCACACCAUGGGAGUCGGUAACACCCAAAGUUGGUAGCCUAACCGCAAGGAGGGCGCCGCCUAAGGUGGGAUUGAUGACUGGGGUGAAGUCGUAACAAGGUACC